AGUGAACGCUGGCGGUAGGCCUAACACAUGCAAGUCGAACGGCAGCACAGUAAGAGCUUGCUCUUACGGGUGGCGAGUGGCGGACGGGUGAGGAAUACAUCGGAAUCUACUUUUUCUUGGGGGAUAACGUAGGGAAACUUACGCUAAUACCGCAUACGACCUACGGGUGAAAGCAGGGGAUCUUCGGACCUUGCGCGAUUGAAUGAGCCGAUGUCGGAUUAGCUAGUUGGCGGGGUAAAGGCCCACCAAGGCGACGAUCCGUAGCUGGUCUGAGAGGAUGAUCAGCCACACGGGAACAGAGACACGGUCCAGAGUCCUACGGGAGGCAGCAGUGGGGAAUAUUGAGCAAUGGGCGCAAGCCUGAUCCAGCAAUACCGCGUGGGUGAAGAAGGCCUUCGGGUUGUAAAGCCCUUUUGUUGGGAAAGAAAAGCAGCAGGUUAAUACCCCGCUGUUCUGACGGUACCCAAAGAAUAAGCACCGGCUAACUUCGUG
This 492-nucleotide ribosomal RNA is filed under the name uncultured bacterium. RNAcentral describes it as "partial 16S ribosomal RNA". It matches the Rfam family "Bacterial small subunit ribosomal RNA", at positions 29 to 507 of the family's 1533-position model. The record is from RNAcentral.